This 343-nucleotide unclassified non-coding RNA is filed under the name fungal sp. Its description in RNAcentral is "partial internal transcribed spacer region". The stretch from base 1 to 46 matches the Rfam family "Eukaryotic small subunit ribosomal RNA", at positions 1786 to 1831 of the family's 1831-position model. Lineage: Eukaryota; Fungi. The record is from RNAcentral.
AAGUCGUAACAAGGUUUCCGUAGGUGAACCUGCGGAAGGAUCAUUAACACGUAUCCAACGUUAAACAACCCUGUGAACUUUCAAACGCUCUUGUAGCCCAGGCGGAACAGCAAUCCCGGUAAAUCAAUGGCGGAAAAGUUUUGAUUCGGGACCUCUGUCCAAAAGGUAUCAAGUUACAAUCGAGCUAGGAGCAGUGGCAUGUUUUCCCUAAGCAGUGCAGAAGGAUCCACUGAGUAAGGCUUCACGGUUGCCAGAGGUCGAUCACCGCGGCAGACAUGUCACAGCCGCGGAAACGCCGGGCACAAAAACUGAACAACUGUUAACAAUGGAUAUCUUGGUUCUC